RNAcentral lists this ribosomal RNA (462 nucleotides) under uncultured Anaplasma sp. RNAcentral's name for it is "bacterial SSU rRNA". It matches the Rfam family "Bacterial small subunit ribosomal RNA", at positions 128 to 624 of the family's 1533-position model. The record is from RNAcentral. Lineage: Bacteria; Pseudomonadati; Pseudomonadota; Alphaproteobacteria; Rickettsiales; Anaplasmataceae.
GCCCAGUAGUAUGGGAUAGCCACUAGAAAUGGUGGGUAAUACUGUAUACGCCCUGCGGGGGAAAGAUUUAUCGCUACUGGAUGAGCCUAUGUUAGAUUAGCUAGUUGGUAGGGUAAAGGCCUACCAAGGCAGUGAUCUAUAGCUGGUCUGAGAGGAUGAUCAGCCACACUGGAACUGAGAUACGGUCCAGACUCCUACGGGAGGCAGCAGUGGGGAAUAUUGGACAAUGGGCGCAAGCCUGAUCCAGCUAUGCCGCGUGAGUGAGGAAGGCCUUAGGGUUGUAAAACUCUUUCAGCGGGGAAGAUAAUGACGGUACCCGCAGAAGAAGUCCCGGCAAACUCCGUGCCAGCAGCCGCGGUAAUACGGAGGGGGCAAGCGUUGUUCGGAAUUAUUGGGCGUAAAGGGCAUGUAGGCGGUUUGGUGAGUUAAAGGUGAAAUGCCAGGGCUUAACCCUGGAGCUGC